This 1379-nucleotide long non-coding RNA is filed under the name Felis catus (domestic cat). RNAcentral's name for it is "lncRNA (ENSFCAG00000050987.1)". Lineage: Eukaryota; Metazoa; Chordata; Mammalia; Carnivora; Felidae. The record is from RNAcentral.
AUGACCUGGGGGAGAGACAGGAGAGUUAGAAAGGCGGGUUCCAGGCGAGGGCUGUCAUCAAGGCGUUUGGUGUGGAGCGCCUCUUCAGGCACGCUAGCCCCAGUGAGUCCAGUGUCCCUGGGAGUAGAUGACAUCAGCAUCCCGGUUUACAGAGAGAAUCUCAGAGCGGGUAAGUGGCCUGAGGACGGGCAGCCAGGUCUGGUGGUCUCCCUCUCCUACCUGGCUGCCUCUCCUUUCCUUCAAAGACGGGAGACGUCUAUUUCCUACGUGUCUUACAGCCUUCAUGCUGGAUCAACAAGCAGACCUGAGAUGUCAUCGACAGAGAGAUGUCCCCCCGCCUCCAGCUGAGCGACAGAGAUGAAGCAGAAGCUGCUUUUGAUUUUUAAAAAUUUUUUUAUUUUUGUAAAUUUAUAUCCAAAGAGUUAGCAUCUGGUGCAAGGACGAUUUCAGGAGUUAGAUGCCUUAGUGCCCCUUACGCAUUUAGCCCAUCCCCCCUCCCACAACCCCUCCAGGAACCCUCUGUUUGUUCUCCAUAUUUAUGAGUCUCUUCUGUUUUGUCCCCCUCCCUGGUUUUAUAUUAUUUUUGCUUCGCUUCCCUCUUGUUCAUCUGUUUUGUCUCUUAAAGUCCUCAAAUGAGGGAAAUCAUCUGAUUGUUGUCUUUCUCUGACUAAUUUCACUUAGCAUAAUACCCUCCAGGUCCAUCCACGUAGUUGCAAAUGGCAAGAUUUCAUUCUUUUUGAUUGCCGAGUGAUACUCCAUUGUAUAUAUAUCCCACAUCUUUAUCCAUUCGUCCUUCGAUGGACAUUUGGCCUCUUUCCAUACUUUGGCUAUUGUUGAUAGUGCUGCUAUAAACAUGGGGGUGCCUGUGUCCCUUCAAAACAGUGCACUUGUAUCCCUUGGAUAAAUGCCUAGUAGUGUAAUUGCUGGGUGGUAGGGUAGUUCUAUUUUUAGUUUUUUGAGGAAACUCCAUCCUGUUUUCCAGAGUGGCUGCACCAGCUUGCAUUCCCAUGCUUUUGAUUUUUAAAGAAAGAGUCUUGAUACCCUUUAUUUCGGGAAUUGUUCUUAAUAGAUCACAAAGAAAGUUCACAUUCGCCGGGAAGAGAAGAAGGGCAGUCGCGAUAACAGCAACAGUAAUAAUAAGCGUGGCCGUUAUGGGGCGCCCGGUGGCUCAGUCGGUUGGAUGUCCGACUGUAGCUCAGGUCAUGAUCUGACAGUUCAUGGGUUCGGCCCCGCAUCAGGCUCUGUGCUGACAGCUUGGAGCCUGGAGCCUGCUUUGGAGUCUGUGCCUCCCCCGGGCCCCCGCUCUCUGCCCCUCCCCUUCUCGCACUCUGUCUCUCAAAAAUGAAUAAAUGUUAAAAAAAAUAUUUUAAAAAAAGGCA